GAGGGAUCUCCUAUGUUGGUCGAGCUGUGUAUAAUCUCUUCUGAUUGGAGGAGUUUCAAUUGCUCGACAGCGUGGAAUAUCACCUGUGCGACAUAGAAACAGAUUCCUUUGGUGGGAUUACCAUUGACUCGGUAAAAUUAAUGAUGAUGCUCACUUGCAUAGCUGCAGGAAGAUAGGAAUCCGAGUAAACUGGCUUCGAGAAGGCAGAUUCAAAUUUGGAACUAAAUGAAAGCCUGAGACAGCAAAGAAUUAUAAUAUUUAAAGAAAAGAUUCGUAAAUAAAAGGUUAAGAAUCGCUGCUUUAAAGGAUAAUUAAGAGGAAGGAAAAGUUCUCGUGGCAGAAAAUCGUCGGCCACGAUUCUUGAGAACGGUAGAACGACACAAGGGGCGGCUUAAACUUUGGUGAAACUUCUCUCUGAGAGUUAAUUAAAACUCGACCUUCUAUCUAUGUCAAAAUCUCUCUCUUCGAAUAAUCGCUAUCUUUCCUUUUCUCUCUCUCUGGAAAGAUCCUCUUCAACCUCUCGAACGUAUCCCGAACACUAGAGAAACACUAUUUCC
Long non-coding RNA from Apis dorsata (giant honeybee), 557 nucleotides. RefSeq lists it as uncharacterized. NCBI's taxonomy places the organism in Eukaryota, Metazoa, Arthropoda, Insecta, Hymenoptera, Apidae. The transcript is spliced from 4 exons. The record is from RefSeq and is a predicted model, not a curated record.